AGUGAACGCUGGCGGUAGGCCUAACACAUGCAAGUCGAACGGCAGCACAGUAAGAGCUUGCUCUUACGGGUGGCGAGUGGCGGACGGGUGAGGAAUACAUCGGAAUCUACUUUUUCGUGGGGGAUAACGUAGGGAAACUUACGCUAAUACCGCAUACGACCUACGGGUGAAAGCAGGGGAUCUUCGGACCUUGCGCGAUUGAAUGAGCCGAUGUCGGAUUAGCUAGUUGGCGGGGUAAAGGCCCACCAAGGCGACGAUCCGUAGCUGGUCUGAGAGGAUGAUCAGCCACACUGGAACUGAGACACGGUCCAGCCUCCUCCGGGAGGCAGCAGUGGGGAAUAUUGGACAAUGGGCGCAAGCCUGAUCCAGCCAUACCGCGUGGGUGAAGAAGGCCUUCGGGUUGUAAAGCCCUUUUGUUGGGAAAGAAAAGCAGCAGGUUAAUACCCCGCUGUUCUGACGGUACCCAAAGAAUAAGCACCGGCUAACUUCGUG
RNAcentral lists this ribosomal RNA (492 nucleotides) under uncultured bacterium. Its description in RNAcentral is "partial 16S ribosomal RNA". It matches the Rfam family "Bacterial small subunit ribosomal RNA", at positions 29 to 507 of the family's 1533-position model. The record is from RNAcentral.